Molecule: small nuclear RNA, 329 nt
Filed under: Chinchilla lanigera (long-tailed chinchilla)
Lineage: Eukaryota; Metazoa; Chordata; Mammalia; Rodentia; Chinchillidae
Description: 7SK RNA (ENSCLAG00000022047.1)
Rfam family: 7SK RNA
About the family: 7SK was discovered as an abundant small nuclear RNA in the mid-70s but a possible function has only recently been suggested. Two independent studies have found that 7SK RNA binds the CDK9/cyclin T complex (known as elongation factor P-TEFb).
Source: Rfam by way of RNAcentral
GGAUGUGAGGGUGACCUGGAUGGGACAUCUGUCACCCCAUUGACUGCCAGGGUUGAUUCUUCUGGUCUGGUUGGCUGGGUGGGUGUCCCCUUCUUCCCUCAAUGCUCCAUGAGCCUCCCUCCCGAAGCUCAGUCAAAGAAGACAACCACACCCCAUAGAGGAAGACCAUUCCCUGCUCAAGGGUAAAUGAGUUGCUGGGCUCCCCUUCAAGAACGUCCAAAUAAGCUCUCAACACUGGAAAGUUUAUGUCUUGUCCCCUGGGGUAGGGUGGCUUUGGUUACCUUGGAUUGGGUCUUUUAACUUAGAUUCUGUUGCAGUGUUUUAUGAUU